GACGAACGCUGGCGGCGUGCCUAAUACAUGCAAGUCGAACGCACAGUUUAUACCGUAGCUUGCUACACCAUACACUGUGAGUUGCGAACGGGUGAGUAACGCGUAGGUAACCUGCCUGGUAGCGGGGGAUAACUAUUGGAAACGAUAGCUAAUACCGCAUAAUAUUAAUUAUUGCAUGAUAAUUGAUUGAAAGAUGCAAUUGCAUCACUACCAGAUGGACCUGCGUUGUAUUAGCUAGUAGGUGAGGUAACGGCUCACCUAGGCGACGAUACAUAGCCGACCUGAGAGGGUGAUCGGCCACACUGGGACUGAGACACGGCCCAGACUCCUACGGGAGGCAGCAGUAGGGAAUCUUCGGCAAUGGACGAAAGUCUGACCGAGCAACGCCGCGGGAGUGAAGAAGGUUUUCGGAUCGUAAAGCUCUGUUGUAAGAGAAGAACGGGUGUGAGAGUGGAAAGUUCACACUGUGACGGUAGCUUACCAGAAAGGGACGGCUAACUACGUG
RNAcentral lists this ribosomal RNA (505 nucleotides) under uncultured bacterium. RNAcentral describes it as "partial 16S ribosomal RNA". It matches the Rfam family "Bacterial small subunit ribosomal RNA", at positions 28 to 507 of the family's 1533-position model. The record is from RNAcentral.